AGCAGCCGCCACGGGAAUACAGAGGGUGCGAGCGUUAAUCGGAUUUACUGGGCGUAAAGCGUGCGUAGGCGGCUAAUUGAGUCGGAUGUGAAAUCCCCGAGCUUAACUUGGGAAUUGCAUUCGAUACUGGUUAGCUAGAGUGUGGGAGAGGAUGGUAGAAUUCCAGGUGUAGCGGUGAAAUGCGUAGAGAUCUGGAGGAAUACCGAUGGCGAAGGCAGCCAUCUGGCCUAACACUGACGCUGAGGUACGAAAGCAUGGGGAGCAAACAGGAUUAGAGACCCGCGUAGUCCCUGUCUCUUAUAC
RNAcentral lists this ribosomal RNA (303 nucleotides) under uncultured bacterium. RNAcentral describes it as "partial 16S ribosomal RNA". It matches the Rfam family "Bacterial small subunit ribosomal RNA", at positions 507 to 807 of the family's 1533-position model. The record is from RNAcentral.